GUAGUCUCGCACAGAUGCAUAUCAAUAAGCGGAGGAAAAGAAACUAACAAGGAUUCCCUUAGUAACGGCGAGUGAAGCGGGAAGAGCUCAAAUUUGAAAUCUUCAAGGUUUUACCUUGACGAAUUGUAGUUUAAAGAAGUGUUUUCUGUUGAAGUUUUGGUAAAAGUUCUUUGGAAUAGGACAUCAUAGAGGGUGAGAAUCCCGUAUUUGACCAUUAUUUUCAGCUGUGUGAUACACUUUCAAAGAGUCGGAUUGUUUGGGAAUGCAGUCCAAAAUGGGUGGUAAAUUUCAUCUAAAGCUAAAUAUUGGCGAGAGACCGAUAGCGAACAAGUACCGUGAGGGAAAGAUGAAAAGAACUUUGAAAAGAGAGUUAAACAGUACGUGAAAUUGUCAAAAGGGAAGCGUUUGACACCAGUGUUGUUUUCUCGAAAAUCAAUUAAAAAGAGUUUGAUUUUGUUGUGUAUUGACCUUAACAGCUUGCAUUUCAAUUUUCUUGCUUUUUUUAAUGCACCUUUCGUUUAACAAGUCAACAUCAGUUUCUUUUGUUGUAAAAAGGUCAUUGGAAGGUGGCUUUCUUUUCGGAGAAAGUGUUUAUAGCCUUUGACUCCUGCAAUCGGAGAGACUGAGGUCUGCAGCGUAGAUCCUUCGGGGUUAGAUACAUUUGUGCUAAGUUAUAGGCUUUUUAUAGACAACUUGUUGACUAUGAUUAGUCUUGUAGCUUACUCGCUUAUGCUAUUUUACCUACGCUUAGGAUGUUGAGCGCAUGUCUCUCUCU
This 775-nucleotide ribosomal RNA is filed under the name uncultured Neocallimastigales. RNAcentral's name for it is "partial large subunit ribosomal RNA". It matches the Rfam family "Eukaryotic large subunit ribosomal RNA", at positions 24 to 616 of the family's 3401-position model. Lineage: Eukaryota; Fungi; Neocallimastigomycota; Neocallimastigomycetes; Neocallimastigales. The record is from RNAcentral.